Long non-coding RNA from Dicentrarchus labrax (European seabass), 1019 nucleotides. RefSeq lists it as uncharacterized. Lineage: Eukaryota; Metazoa; Chordata; Actinopteri; Moronidae. The transcript has 2 exons. The record is from RefSeq and is a predicted model, not a curated record.
GUCAAAUUAUUACUUUUACUUUUCUAUUCCUCAUCCGUGUCCUUCAAAGUCACAUAUCCUGCACCAUCAUCAGAGCUGAACAAAGCUGUAGUUACGUUGCGACAUGCCUCCCGAGCCCGCAUGCAACCCGGCCAGGAGAGUAAAGUCAGCAGGCUCUUUAAGACACAGAACCCCUGCAAAGCAGCCGGACCAGUUCUGUCUCUCCGUCCAGCCUGAAGUACUGUGCUGAUCAGCUAUCUCCAGUGUUCACUGACAUCUUCAACACCUCACUGGAGACAUGUAAUUUGCCAGCCUGCUUCACAGCAUCCACCAUAAUCCCCAUCCCCAUCCCCAAAAAGCCAAGGACCACAGGACUCACUGACCUGUCGCCCUGCCCACUGUGGUCAUGAAGUCGUUUGAGUGCUUUGUGCCUUCCCACCUCAAAACCAUAACUGACCCACUCCUGGGUCCCCUGCAGUUGGCCUACAGAGCCAACAGGUCAGUAAACAAGGCUCUACACUUCAUCCUCCAGCACCUGUAUUCAGGAACCUAUGCCAGGAUCCUGUUUGUGGACCAGCUCUGCUAAAGGACAGGACAUGAAUACGCAAUCAACUAUAGUCAGUACUUAUUCUCAUGGCUUGUUGGGUUAAAGAAUAAAAAGGUCUGGAGAACAAUUUUACCUAGAAUUAAUUGAAAUAAAAAUAAAAGUAUUUUAAAUCCUGAAAUGGAAAACAGAAAAGCCCAUAUGUAAAUGCUCAAAUCAAAUUUGAAUUCUGGUUAAAAUCAUCCUUUAUGUUACAAGAUGUACCAAUAGAGAUAUUUGUGCUUACUUGUUAAGGAAGGUACUUACUUCUUGUGCUUUAUUUUAAUAUCCUGAUGUCUUACACUUUAAGUACUGCAAUAUUAUCAUAUGUAUUGAAUAGAAUAACAGCUAAUUUCUGAUGAAAGAUUAUGAAAACAAAACAGUAAUCAUGAUACACAAUUGCAAUAUGUCAAUUUAAAUCAUGUAUUAAUAAAUCACAGUUGACUUUCCAAAAUCA